Malania oleifera is the source of this 108-nucleotide small nucleolar RNA. Lineage: Eukaryota; Viridiplantae; Streptophyta; Magnoliopsida; Santalales; Ximeniaceae. The record is from RefSeq and is a predicted model, not a curated record.
AAUUCGUGAUGAGGACACAUGUUAAUCAGACCUCUAAAUCUCUCCCAGUUUUCAUUAAAUAUCUCAUCAACUUCUUGCAUGAAUCGACUGAUCUAUUCCUGCAAAAAU